Molecule: ribosomal RNA, 157 nt
Filed under: Blastobotrys sp. MUCL 7707
Lineage: Eukaryota; Fungi; Ascomycota; Dipodascomycetes; Dipodascales; Trichomonascaceae
Description: 5.8S ribosomal RNA
Rfam family: 5.8S ribosomal RNA
About the family: 5.8S ribosomal RNA (5.8S rRNA) is a component of the large subunit of the eukaryotic ribosome. It is transcribed by RNA polymerase I as part of the 45S precursor that also contains 18S and 28S rRNA. Functionally, it is thought that 5.8S rRNA may be involved in ribosome translocation.
Source: RNAcentral
AACUUUCAACAACGGAUCUCUUGGUUCUCGCAUCGAUGAAGAACGCAGCGAAAUGCGAUACGUAAUGUGAAUUGCAGAAUUUUGUGAAUCAUCGAAUCUUUGAACGCACAUUGCGCCUUUUGGUACUCCAGGAGGCAUGCCUGUUUGAGCGUCAUUU